UUUCCGUAGGUGAACCUGCGGAAGGAUCAUUACAGCGAGAAAUUCUAUCACGCUCGACCACCAUUCUGUGUUUUUGUGAACUUGUUGCUUUUGCUGGCCCGCCUCGAUGCUGGCUCGCCGGACGUACACCGACUCAGUCGCGUUGCCUCCAGUCGCCAUCUUAUAGUCUUACUACACAUGUCGACAGCGACACUAGACAAAAUCAAAAAAAACUUUCAAAAACAGAUAUCUUGGUUCUCGCAUCGAUGCAAACAGCAGCAGAUCGCAAGAGCACACAUC
Molecule: unclassified non-coding RNA, 279 nt
Filed under: plant metagenome
Description: partial contains small subunit ribosomal RNA, internal transcribed spacer 1, and 5.8S ribosomal RNA
Source: RNAcentral